GGGCGUUUAGCUCAGUGGUAGAGCGCCCGCUUUGCAUUACCUUCAUCAGUGUCUGCGGGAGGCCCAGGGUUCAAUCCCCUGAUCGUCCA
This 89-nucleotide transfer RNA is filed under the name Colletotrichum orchidophilum. It matches the Rfam family "tRNA". From Rfam's summary of the family: Transfer RNA (tRNA) molecules are approximately 80 nucleotides in length. Their secondary structure includes four short double-helical elements and three loops (D, anti-codon, and T loops). Further hydrogen bonds mediate the characteristic L-shaped molecular structure. tRNAs have two regions of fundamental functional importance: the anti-codon, which is responsible for specific mRNA codon recognition, and the 3' end, to which the tRNAs corresponding amino acid is attached (by aminoacyl-tRNA synthetases). tRNAs cope with the degeneracy of the genetic code in two manners: having more than one tRNA (with a specific anti-codon) for a particular amino acid; and 'wobble' base-pairing, i.e. permitting non-standard base-pairing at the 3rd anti-codon position. The record is from Rfam by way of RNAcentral. Lineage: Eukaryota; Fungi; Ascomycota; Sordariomycetes; Glomerellales; Glomerellaceae.